Molecule: long non-coding RNA, 6561 nt
Organism: Equus caballus (horse)
Lineage: Eukaryota; Metazoa; Chordata; Mammalia; Perissodactyla; Equidae
Source: Ensembl
CUGUGGUUAGUACACCUAGCUAUGCUGCUUUUGCCCUGGGGUCUUCCAGCCUUGUGGCUGGUGGCUGGGUGCCUUCUACUGGUGCUGUGCAGAGGCUUUCCCUAAGGCUGCUGUGAGCCUGUAGGGUUUCCCCCUAGGCUACUAAGCUGGGUCUCUGGAACUCUCUCCAGCCCCUGUCCUCUCCGAGAUCUCUGGCAAUCCCUAGUCUCACGGGGCGGGCAACGGCAGCUGGGGGUCGCCCCGCCCUCUGGGCUUCUCUCCGGGCCUCUCUCGGGAGCCCUGAAUGCUGGGCGUGGCCCCUCUGCUAAUGGCAGACAGAGAGUUUUGUCUGCUGCCUGGCGGAACUCCGGCACUUCCCCUCCGGGUCGCAGAACCGGCCUUUGAAAGUUCCCCCCGCCCCGGUCCUCUCCGAGAUCUCUGGCAAUCCCUAGCCCCACGGGGCGGGCAACGGCAGCUGGGGGUCGCCCCGCCCUCUGGGAUUCUCUCUGGGCCUCUCCCGGAGCCAUGAAUCCUCAGCGUGGCCCCUCUGCUAACGGCAGACAGAGAGUUUUGUCUGCUGCCCGGGCGGAGCUCCGGCGCUUCCCCUCCGGGUCACCGGCAACGGCAGCUGGGAGACCUCCGUACCCUCCGUGACUCUCUCUGGGACCCAAUGGCGGGGAGAGACUCUCCCCGCGGGCUCAGGUGUGCAACUCCAAAGUUUCCCUCUGCGUUUAGGAGUAAUUGCGGGGGGUUUAGGUAGGGUUCUGGUCACCUGUUUCCACUGUCGCUCCUCUGUUGUGUUCUCGCUCCUGCCCUAGAUGUGUGUGGAUCCUCUGGGGGCGUCCGUUGGAAGAAAGCCGCUUGCGGGUACUAGGCUGCCCAUCGGGGUCAGAGAGUUUUCACCUAUUUCCACAUCCUCCCGGAGGAAAGUCCGUCCGCCUUCUGAUGUAUAGUCACGUGGGUGUCUCAGACGUCCUGAGAUGCUGUCUGGAUAUCCUUUGUCAAGCGAUAAGUGUCCAAAUAAUUGUAGACUCGAAGGGCGAGAGACAAAGAGGACUACUCACGGCGCCAUCUUGGAUCUUCUCCGGUGGGAUAUUUUGCUCGUGUCCAUGGCAUCAGGCAGCUUAUAAAGGCAUUUCUACAGAAGAUAGAAUGUCAGUGCCAAAUUAUAAACCUGGGGGCUGGGAUGGAUACCGCCUUCUGGACAUUAAAGGUUUGUACAGAUUUUUUUAGGGUCUUCUAUCAGGUCAGUCAUGUGGCAGUAAUGGGUAUGUGCAUUUCCCCAGAUUUCUCCAGAUGUACACCAAGAUAAAUUAGAGUGUGUGGGCAUAACCCGACCUGCAUAUCUGUUUUGUCCCUAAUCAGCUCACCUGAUAAGAUGGUCUUUAGUCAUCAGAGCUCCCAGCCUUUCUCUUACUCAAGCGAGAAGUCGGUGGCAUCAACAUGGUCUUAGUAUUAAACGUUUGCCUCUGCAUUCUUCAUUUAGGAUAAGAUAACUAACAUUUCUGAGGUGUUUUUACAUACAUGGCCUCACGAAUUAACAUGAGAUCUCUGUGAGAGGGGAGAGUUUUACACAGAUGGGGAAAGUGGGGCUGCGAGAGCUUGUGUCUUUCCCCAAAUUGGAUAUCUGGUGGCACUGGAAUGUGGAACAAACAUUGGAGCCCAGCUCAUCGAACUGCAGACUCCUUCCCCUUUCCUCUACACACAGCCCUGUGGGUGUUCCAGCGGUUCUUUUCUGUAGGUUGAUUGUGCCUGUGUAACACGGGGACCAUGGUGUACCAGAAGGAACUGGAAGAGAAUGCAGCGUAAGCGAAUGUGCAGUGUCAGUGUUCACAGGGGCCGCUGGAGAAAUCCCUCCUUUGGGCCUGACACCUUUUUGACUGGUCCCAUGGUUUGGUUUUUUCCCUGUCUUGCAAGUGAGUUAAUAAUUAAUAAAUGUGAGAUUUUUAUUUCUGAGCAAGGUACACAGAGGCUUACGUGCUCCUUCCAAGGAAAAGGCUGUCUGGCAGUAGUGAGGAAGGAGAGUAGCACAGGGUCUGAAAGUCUUUUGUGGAAGUUUUUUGUUUUGUUUGAUAAUCAUAUUGGUCUGAAGGGAUUUUUUAAAAUCUAAAGUUCCUCCUUUUUUGAAAAACAAUUAUUAUGUUUGCUCUUUUGGAGCCGAGGUUGCAUGGGCCAAAUCCAGCCUGCCACCUAUUUUUAGAAAUCAAAUUUUAUGGGAUGCAGCCACUCCCAUUUAUUUCCAUAUUCUCUGUGGCUGCUUUAGCACUGUGACCGCGGAGUUCAGCAGUUAUGACAGACCGUCUGGCCUUCACAGGCUAAAAUACUUAUUUCUGACUCUUUACAGAAAGUUUGCUAAUCCCUGUUUUAGAAAUAUAUGUGCUCCUAUAAAAGAGUGAGGAAAAUGUUGUCUGUUGGUCUUGUUGUCUCAUGCACCUCCCACCUUGGAUGGUCCCCUGGCUGCCCCAGCACAGGAUUAGCUGUGAGUCAAGGCUUUCUGCUGUCACUACUAUAUGAGUUUGGUCUGUAUGAUCUCAGGGGCCCAGGACUGGAGGGUUGAAGACUCCCAUCUUCGGGCAGCGGGCAAGAAUAGGGCAAGGGAGAGCUGGUAUUGUCCCAAACAGAGAAUAAGGAGUGAGUGAAACUCUUAAGGGGCCUCAGUUGUUUGGUGUCUCUUGAAUUCUGUUUCUACAAACUGAAAGGUCAAGUACAUAGGGGAAGGAUUGUCAAUUUUGCUGGCCUGUGAAACGGUCAGCCAUGUUGGAUCUGCUUUGAGACUAAGUGGUACCCUUCCUCCUGGCUGCUCCUGGCUGCCCUCUGGUACUUAUAGUCAGUCUUGGGUGUCUCCCCUGCCUCCUUGAGACGUGUGAGCUACUUGGGAGUGGAGUGUCAGAAGGGCCUAGAGAAUCACAGACUAAAAAGUGGAAGUAUCACUUCCCACAGCCAUUUUGCCCUUUUCUGAAAGCCGAGAAAGAGGAUGUCUGUUUCUUAAAAGCUCCAGGUGUGCCUUUUGGAAGCUUCCCUUCCACAGUGCCCUCUUAUUCAGAAUCAUUGGGAGGAUCAAGUGAGCUACUGCAGGGAAAGCUCUUUACAAAGUCAGAAGACCCAUUUGAGUUGUAGGACUCUAUGCUAUCUGUCAUUCAUUUGCUUUUAAUUGCUCUCUUUGUCUUCUGGAAUUUUAGACUAUCUUUAACUUUCCAUACCCUGUGAGUAAAAGUUCUUGAAAGGUCUUGUAGAAUUUCCUAGAGAAAGUCAGGAAACCCCUUAAUGGGUUUCACUCACUCCUUAUUCUUUGUUUGUGACAAUACCGGCUCUCCCGUGCCCUAUUCUUGCCCACUGCCCGAAGAUGGGAGUCUUCAACGCUCCAGUCCUGGGCCCCUGAGAUCAUACAGAUCAAGUUCAUGUAGCAGUGGCAGCAGAAGGCCUUGACUCGCAGCUAAGCCUCUGCUGGUGCAGCCAGGGAACCACGCCAGGUGGGAGGUGCGAUUUCCACACAUGCUCUAAACACGUCCUCCACGGAUCUUCAAAUAGAUUACAUAGCCCUACUCUGCUGAUAGGCGGGAGCUCCUCUGAUGUCAGGAAACUGUCUUGUUUAUUCCUCCCCCCACCCUCCGCCACUGCCUCCCUCGUACCUUCCUUUCCUUCCUCUCUUCUCUCUCUCUUUCUCUUGCCCCAUCCUUCCCUCUCUCCCUCCCUCUCUUCCUUCCUCCUCCCCCACCCCUCCAGAUCCCCUAGGACUUUAACUGAGGACUAGUGUCUGCAUAGGGUGGGGGAGCUGGAUCUCACAUUUCUGACACUUGCCCUUAGGGGUCACCUUCCUACUAGGAAAUGCUUGCUCAUGAUUUCCAUUCCCAUCAUGCUGUCCCAUCAGGGGGUCUGCUGCCCCUCCAUACUGCUCUCCAUCUCUUACUACUGUCUACAUAAAUGGUUCUCUCUCCUGCCCAGUUGCUCAGGGCAGAAACAAGGGUGCCAUCCUUACUCCUCCUUUUUCUUUAUCCCACCCUCUAUUGACACCACACCAGGUUCUGGAUAUCAGCAACUUUCUUUUUAAAUAAGUAGUUCUGUAUUUCUGGAAUAUAAGCACAGAUGGGAGCAGGGAUGUUAAAAGAGUACUAGGCCAGAAGGUGGGCAGGUGGGCCAGGUUGUGGAGCACCCAGCAUCUUAGCUCAAUCUUAGAGGUGGGAAGAGCUGCUGCAGGCAACAUGAAGUGUGUCGUUGAAAGAGAUCAGAAAGGGAUGUUGUUAGAGUCUGUGCAGUUGGGGACAGAGCGGAAGAGGAGAGGAUGCCUUCUAGGAUAGUCAGCAGGCAGGGCUGAGUGACUGAUCAAACAGGGUGGAGACGGAGAGAAUUCUAGGAUGACCAGUGAGUGACUGUGGGGAGGAGGGGAUAGUACCACCCAGCUAGGGAAGCAGAAGGGGGAAGCAGGGCCGUGUGUGUGUGUCUCUAUGUGUGAGGUUUUCACAGUUUUUUUUUUUUUACUGCAGCUCACAGUAAAAAAUAAAUGUAUAUCCCAAUCUAGCACCCACAUCUAUGUACUGAUGUCUAAAUAAUAAGGGCACACACAUGGUGCUUACUAGGUGCAGGCCCUGUUCUCUCACUCCUGUAUUUCCUCAUUAAUCCUCACAACCCCACGAGGUGGUAUCAUUUUCUCUACUUUUCAAAUGAGGAAGCCUUGGCUCAGGGAGUUUAGUGACUUUCCCAAGGCCUCAGAGUGAACAAGUGGUGGAGCUGGGAUUUGAACCCUGUCCGCCCGGGCUGCAGAGUCCCUGUCCUUUACCACCCCAGUAUACUCCACUGUCAGAGAAAAAAAUAAAUAUAUUACAAAAUAGUACUUACCCUCACCUCAUGUGAUGCUUUCUGAUAUUUGCUAUUUUAUUUCAUUUCAUCCAAAAGAUUCUUGUCCAUACCCACUACACUGAUUUCCUGACUCUCUCUAAUUGGUCUCAAGCUGCUUCCUGUUACAUCCUACGUCCAGAGUGCCUCCUGCUCCUCCCCACUCCAUCCCAGUGGACGCUUCCCCAGUUCUGGCUGCCCAUUACUUCUUGCCUAGGUGACCACAGUAACCUCCUAAUUUUUUGCGCCAUCUGUUCCUCAUACUGAGACCAAAGUAAUUUAGAAAAUGCAUUUCUGACCAUAUCAUCCCCUGAUUUAAAAUCCUUAAAUACCCCAUUGCUCCUCGGGCCUUGGUACUUGGUCUGUGAGGAUGAUCAGUGAAUAUAUGACUGAAUAAAUAAUUAUAAAGAUAACUGUGUUUUUUCUCAGGAUGAGGGUCUUCUCCCAAGGAAAUAUUUUGAAGUUGACUUUCCGGUGAUAGUCACGAGAAAGCUACACAGCAUCAAGUAAGUGUGGCUUUGGCCAGAAGAAAGAGCCUGGUAGAAUUCAGAACCGGCCUUCAGUAGACAGCAGGUCUGAGUGCCAGAGACCUCAUUUUAGGGCCCUGCUCUCCUCACUUGCUUUCUUGCCCCGAGACCCUCAUUCCAGUGUGUCUUGCAGUCUUCAAAAUGAAAAAUACCCUCCCUUGUGACUCUUCUCUCCAUUAAUGUAACUUCUCUGAACACUUAAAAAAUGACCUAUCAUAGUUUAGUAAUCUGAAUUAAAAUUCACAUAAUGUGUAUUUUGUUUACUUCUUUAUCCCAGGGAACAGAAAGGUACCUGGUCCAGAAAAGAUAUGUAGUAAAUAUUUUUUGAAUGAAUGAAUGAAUGGGAAACUGAACUUAAUCAUUUAUUAUAUAUGAGAUAUGUGGGGGCCAUUCUGAGUCGAGGUUUCAAGGAGUUUGCAAAGUUGUAGAUGAUGAGUUUGCUCAUCUUUGCCGAGAGCUUUGCGUGUCAAAUGCUUCUCUUGGAUUGUCUCAUUCAAUCCUCAGAGCAGACUCAUGAAUUAGUGCUAUUAUUAGCCCCUUCUUACAGAUGAGGAAACUGAGGCUCAAAGACGUUAAUUUGCCUAAAGUCACCUGGCUAGGAAGGGGUGGAGCUGAGCUUUAAACCCUGACUUCAAGCCCAAGGUCAAGGUUUCUCAGUACAGUCGUGUGUCCCCUAACAGUAACAGGGAUGCGUUCUGAGAAAUGCAUUGCUAGGUGAUUUCAGUGUCAUGUGAACGUCGUGGAUUACACUUACACAGUCCCAGAUGGUGUAGCCUACUAUACAUCUGGGCUGUAUGGUGCUAAUAUUGAAGGACCACUAGCACGUAUGUGGUCUGUGGUUGACUGAAACGUCAUUAUGUGGUGUGUGACUUAGUUUUAACCUGUACUCCCUCCUUUUAAAAUUAUUUAAAUAAAAUUUUAAUUCUUAUAUUUAAACAUUUUAAUAAACGCAAAAGUUUCUACCUGUCCUUUAGAGAUGUCUAAUCCUCACAAACUGGAAAUAUUUUUCAAGUUUUUUCUUUUCUAGUUUAUCCUAGGAAAAUAAGUUUUUUACCCCUUUCCAAAUAUAAAAUUGCAUUUUACAUUAAAUAGGCUUUUUGGAUAAUAUAUGGCAAUUCUGAUGCUCUGGGAACUGCAAAGUACUACUAAGCUUGUUAAAACUCUGAGUGAAGUAAGAGUAAGUAGGCUCUAAAUCAAGGCCAGACACGGUUUCCUGGGGUGAAAA